UGGAUCCCUUUGUCCCAAAGAUAUUAAAGUCUUAUCCAAGGGGGAAAAUGCACGCUGUACCACUAAUCCAUAUCGAUUUUCCAUGUCAAAUUCAUUAAGCAUUUGUUUGGAUACAUAAUUAAAUCCAAACCCUCUAGUUAUGUCUGAAUCCAAAAUUAUCAUUUUGUAUAAGCAAAAUGUCUCCUUCUCAAAGCAAGGAUGACUAAUUCAAUGAUGUCUUGCUGGAUUCCAAAAACACCGGUCUCUGCAAGCCAGAGAGUGGCACGGAUUGAUAGUGCAAAACAAGAAAGUCGUACAGACUGAGCUGCUUGUGUCUGCCUUUGCCUCUGAGGGGAUCUACAGUGGGAUGCUUUAUUAGUAGUGCGCAAACAGCUUCUCAUUGUCCUUUUCUUCUUCUUUUUUCUUGCAUAUAUUGAAAAGAAUCUUUGUCCAGCCCUUCUUACAUUCCCCCCUUUUUAUUUCCAUACUAUGAAACAUGAAUGAUCAGUGGUUCUAUUUCUUGAA
Long non-coding RNA from Populus euphratica (Euphrates poplar), 504 nucleotides. RefSeq lists it as uncharacterized. The record is from RefSeq and is a predicted model, not a curated record. Lineage: Eukaryota; Viridiplantae; Streptophyta; Magnoliopsida; Malpighiales; Salicaceae. The transcript has 2 exons.